UGGCUCAGGAUGAACGCUGGCGGCGUGCUUAACACAUGCAAGUCGAACGGAGAUGUUAUGUGAGCGGAGAGUGCUUGCACUUAACAAUCUUUUAACAUCUUAGUGGCGGACGGGUGAGUAACGCGUGGGUAACCUGCCUCAUACAGGGGGAUAACACUUAGAAAUAGGUGCUAAUACCGCAUAAGCGCACAGGAUCGCAUGAUUUGGUGUGAAAAACUCCGGUGGUAUGAGAUGGACCUGCGUCUGAUUAGAUAGUUGGUGAGGUAACGGCCCACCAAGGCGACGAUCAGUAGCCGGCCUGAGAGGGUGAACGGCCACAUUGGGACUGAGACACGGUCCAAACUCCUACGGGAGGCAGCAGUGAGGAAUAUUGGUCAAUGGGCGCAAGCCUGAACCAGCCAAGUAGCGUGAGGGAAGACUGCCCUACGGGUUGUAAACCUCUUUUGUUUGGGAAUAAAGUGCGGGACGCGUCCCGCAUUGCAUGUACCAUUUGAAUAAGCAUCGGCUAACUCCGUGCCAGCAGCCGCGGUAAUACGGAGGAUGCGAGCGUUAUCCGGAUUUAUUGGGUUUAAAGGGAGCGUAGACGGGAUGUUAAGUCAGUUGUGAAAUGCUGUGGCUCAACCAUAGCACUGCAGUUGAUACUGGCGUUCUUGAGUGCGUAUGAGGUACGUGGAAUUCGUGGUGUAGCGGUGAAAUGCUUAGAUAUCACGAAGAACUCCUAUUGCGAAGGCAGCGUACCAAUCCGUAACUGACGUUGAGGCUCGAAAGUGUGGGUAUCAAACAGGAUUAGAUACCCUGGUAGUCCACACGGUAAACGAUGGAUACUCGCUGUUGGCGAUAUACUGUCAGCGGCCAAGUGAAAACGUUAAGUAUCCCACCUGGGGAGUACGCCGGCAACGGUGAAACUCAAAGGAAUUGACGGGGGCCCGCACAAGCGGAGGAACAUGUGGUUUAAUUCGAUGAUACGCGAGGAACCUUACCCGGGCUUAAAUUGCAGAGGACAGUCCCAGAGACGGGAUCUUCUUCGGACCUCUGUGAAGGUGCUGCAUGGUUGUCGUCAGCUCGUGCCGUGAGGUGUCGGCUUAAGUGCCAUAACGAGCGCAACCCUUGCUUCCAGUUGCCAUCAGGUCAUGCUGGGGACUCUGGAAGGACUGCCAUCGUAAGAUGUGAGGAAGGUGGGGAUGACGUCAAAUCAGCACGGCCCUUACGUCCGGGGCUACACACGUGUUAACAUGGGGGGUAC
Molecule: ribosomal RNA, 1243 nt
Filed under: uncultured bacterium
Lineage: Bacteria
Description: partial 16S ribosomal RNA
Rfam family: Bacterial small subunit ribosomal RNA
Source: RNAcentral